Molecule: unclassified non-coding RNA, 355 nt
Filed under: soil metagenome
Description: partial contains 5.8S ribosomal RNA, internal transcribed spacer 2, and large subunit ribosomal RNA
Rfam family: 5.8S ribosomal RNA (bases 1-121)
Source: RNAcentral
GAUGAAGAACGCAGCGAAAUGCGAUAAGUAAUGCGAAUUGCAGAAUUUCCGUGAGUCAUCGAAUCUUUGAACGCACAUUGCGCCCACUGGUAUUCCGGUGGGCAUGCCUGUUCGAGCGUCAAUUCAACCCUCGAACCCCUCCGGGGGGUCGGCGUUGGGGAUCGGCCCUCCCUUAGCGGGUGGCCGUCUCCGAAAUACAGUGGCGGUCUCGCCGCAGCCUCUCCUGCGCAGUAGUUUGCACACUCGCAUCGGGAGCGCGGCGCGUCCACAGCCGUUAAACACCCAACUUCUGAAAUGUUGACCUCGGAUCAGGUAGGAAUACCCGCUGAACUUAAGCAUAUCAAUAAGCGGAGGA